This 463-nucleotide ribosomal RNA is filed under the name uncultured bacterium. Its description in RNAcentral is "bacterial SSU rRNA". It matches the Rfam family "Bacterial small subunit ribosomal RNA", at positions 28 to 508 of the family's 1533-position model. The record is from RNAcentral.
GACGAACGCUGGCGGCGCGCUUCACACAUGCAAGUCGAACGAGAAGCCCGGGCUUGCCCGGGUGGACAGUGGCGAACGGGUGAGUAACACGUGAGCAACCUGCCCCGAAGACGGGAAUAAGCCGGGGAAACCUGGUCUAAUGCCCGAUGCCCUCACCGGACCGCAUGAUCCGGCGAGGAAAGCUCCGGCGCUUCGGGAUGGGCUCGCGGCCUAUCAGCUUGUUGGUGGGGUCACGGCCCACCAAGGCGACGACGGGUAGCUGGUCUGAGAGGAUGUCCAGCCACACUGGGACUGAGACACGGCCCAGACUCCUACGGGAGGCAGCAGUGGGGAAUCUUGCGCAAUGGGCGAAAGCCUGACGCAGCGACGCCGCGUGCGGGAUGAAGGCCUUCGGGUUGUAAACCGCUUUCAGCAGGGACGAAAUUGACGGUACCUGCAGAAGAAGCCCCGGCCAACUACGUGC